Long non-coding RNA from Mauremys reevesii (Reeves's turtle), 2003 nucleotides. RefSeq lists it as uncharacterized. Lineage: Eukaryota; Metazoa; Chordata; Testudines; Geoemydidae. The record is from RefSeq and is a predicted model, not a curated record. The transcript is spliced from 2 exons.
CCUGCUGUAAACCUUUCUAGUGUAGAUGCUAAUAUGACUUCUGUGAUUGAUUGAUUAAUAUGUCUAUAUCAAUCUGCAAAGUUCCUCCUGUUUUGUAAAUACCAUUUUGAUAGUAACCUGUUUGGUAACACUUAACUUUUACACUGUAGCCUCCAUCAUGGGCUGGGACAUCCAGGAGAUGGUGGCACAAAUCCAUAUAUCCAGCAGAGAUGCUAAUAAUAGGAAUGCCAUCAAGGCUGAUGACUUGAUAGUCUUUCAUUCAAAUGAGUGAGUUCCUAGAAGAAAAGUCUGGCUGCAGCCUACAGGAACUAGUUUUCACAUUUUGGACUGGGAGGAGGCUAGAGCAAAGGAACUAAUCAUCUGAUGGUUUUGUUUUUUUUAAGGAGCUCCUGCAUCCCCCUCUUCUUGCUCAGUCUUGCUGUUGUCAGCCAAUGAAAGGCCAGUGAGCACCCAAGUUCAAAAUGAUCCAAUCCUUAAAUAGAGUUUUGGCCACUUCUGCCAGGUGACACUCUUCCCCCCCCAAGCAGCCUCUCAUUGUAACGUAGACCAGGCUACAAAGUUAGGUUGACAUAGAUUGCCUUGCAUUGACUGUGCAUGUGUGUACACUAAAAUUUGUCUCUGGUCGUAAAGGCCCCAUUAAGGUAAACACAGUAAAACUACCUCCCUGAAUGAAGUCGACGCAAAGCGAACGUAGAGGCUCACAAUGCCUGACAGUGACUGCUCUGGCCACAGUUGUGCACUCUGCUGCUCAGAAGUCAGACUGGAAGCGACGCUCACUGAAAACACCUGGUGUAUUUUUUAAAUACCUUUUUCUGAUCACACACCUAGCAGCUGUCUCUUGUGUGUGCAACUGCCCAGCUGUCUAUGCUGGCUCCACACCUAGACAUGCUCCUGUCUGGUGUAGGCAGGAGGUAUUGCAUCUCCUGGGCCUGUGAGGGCACAGCUAUGGACCAGACAUAGAAAUGGACAUCCGUGAGAAGAUUGUAAGGGGGAUGCAGGUGAAAGGGGUAUGACAGGGAUCAGCAGCAGUGUCACAUGAAAGCAAAGGAACUGCAGCAGGUGUACCACUAUCUAUCAGCAGGUGUACCACCAAACUAUCUGAUGGUGAGCAGUAGACCUGCCACUUUUACAAUGAACUGCAUGUCAUACAUAUGGGACCCUGCCAGCACCCUGCAGACUACCAUAAAUACCUCGGAGCAUCCUGAGACAGCGACCUCUGCCAUAAACAGCGAGCAGGAGGGGGGUGACACAGUGGGGGAUAGUCCAGCUAUGCUGGGACCUGUUUGAGACUCUACUGCAGUCUAGUCAGUCCCACCAGCCGAGCACUGAUGAGCCCAGUGAAGGGGAAGAAACCUGGGCUGCUGCUGUUGCGGCCUUGAGGGGUGCUCCCUCUUCACUUGCAAAACACCUGACCCUGAUGAGGAAGAGAAAGAAGAGGACUAGGGAAGAUAUGUUCAGCGAGAUCAUGCAAGCCAGUGAAAAAAGGGCUUGGCUGGCUAGUGUGGCGGCCAGCAUGGAAAGGGACUGAGGACAGGAGAAAAUGGAGAGAGACCCAGGAAUCCCAACAGGAAAAGGAGAGAGAGAUGGACCAGGACAUAAUGGGACUUCUCAGGCAGCAAACAGAUGCUGCAGACUCUAGUUGACUUGCAGGUCCAACAAUCAUGGACUUUGGCCACCCUUUGCAAUUUCUGGAGAACUGUAUAGAGGCAGCUCUCUACACCCCCUGACAUUCCAUGUAGCAUCAUAGGUUGCAUCCCUACCCCUGUCACUCCAUAAUGGGGGACAGUAAGGACAAUGACAGAUUAACAUAAACCAUGUAUUCGUCUCACAGGUCAGUGUAUGUGUAGUCAAAAUGGAUUGCAUUUGUGCACUGAGAUGGGAAGAAAUGUUCGCUGCCUUUCUAAUUUUAAAAGUUCCGUUUCAUUCAUUUGUUAUAAAUUUGUAUUUGCACAUUGUGUUUUGCACUGUUUUCUCACUCAAUAAAUUUAUUUUUUGAAAAUAAA